RNAcentral lists this ribosomal RNA (495 nucleotides) under uncultured bacterium. RNAcentral's name for it is "bacterial SSU rRNA". It matches the Rfam family "Bacterial small subunit ribosomal RNA", at positions 903 to 1397 of the family's 1533-position model. The record is from RNAcentral.
AAAGGAAUUGACGGGGACCCGCACAAGCGGUGGAGCAUGUGGUUUAAUUCGAUGCAACGCGAAGAACCUUACCUACCCUUGACAUCCUUCGAAUCUUGUAGAGAUACGAGAGUGCCGAAAGGAGCGAAGAGACAGGUGCUGCAUGGCUGUCGUCAGCUCGUGUCGUGAGAUGUUGGGUUAAGUCCCGUAACGAGCGCAACCCUUGUCCUUAGUUGCCAGCACGUAAAGGUGGGAACUCUAAGGAGACUGCCGGUGAUAAACCGGAGGAAGGUGGGGAUGAGGUCAAGUCAUCAUGGCCUUUAUGGGUAGGGCCACACACGUGCUACAAUGGUCGGUACAAAGGGAAGCGAACCUGCGAAGGGGAGCGAAACUCAUAAAACCGAUCUUAGUCCGGAUUGGAGUCUGCAACUCGACUCCAUGAAGCUGGAAUCGCUAGUAAUCGCGGAUCAGAACGCCGCGGUGAAUACGUUCCCGGGUCUUGUACACACCGCCCGU